GAUGAACGCUGGCGGUAUGCUUAACACAUGCAAGUCGAACGGACUCUUCGGAGUUAGUGGCGGACGGGUGAGUAACGCGUGAGAAUCUGGCUUUGGGUUCGGGACAACCACUGGAAACGGUGGCUAAUACCGGAUGUGCCGAGAGGUAAAAGAGAAAUUGCCUGAAGAUGAGCUCGCGUCUGAUUAGCUAGUUGGUGAGGUAAAGGCUCACCAAGGCAGCGAUCAGUAGCUGGUCUGAGAGGAUGACCAGCCACACUGGGACUGAGACACAGCCCAGACGCCUACGGGAGGCAGCAGUGGGGAAUUUUCCGCAAUGGGCGAAAGCCUGACGGAGCUAUACCGAGUGAGGGAAGAAGGCUCUUGGGUUGUAAACCUCUUUUCUUAGGGAAGAACAAAAUGACGGUACCUAAGGAAUCAGCAUCGGCUAACUCCGUG
This 435-nucleotide ribosomal RNA is filed under the name uncultured bacterium. RNAcentral's name for it is "partial 16S ribosomal RNA". It matches the Rfam family "Bacterial small subunit ribosomal RNA", at positions 28 to 507 of the family's 1533-position model. The record is from RNAcentral.